CGGCGCCAACAAUUUAUAAAUGAACCAAAAGUGUUGAAUGAGCUACUGACUGAGUAUCCAGCUCUUCAGCUUGUUUCAGAGGUAAAAGCAGAAUUUGGUCGAAUUUUGGCAGACCAAAAUGCAGCCAGCAACAUGGUUAUCCAUUACAAUAAUAUGGUUCAAAAUGUAAUAAAAUGGGCAGGCAAUAGUGACAACAAACACAUAAAAAUAUUGAUGUCAGACAUGGAGGCCAUGCUGUUGCAAAAACCUAAUAAGGAAGCUGAUAUAAGGAGUGCAGUUACAGCAUUGAUUAUUCAGGUUGUGUUGAAUGAAAAAUCCACGGCAAAUUGCUUAGUUUUCAAGAUCUGCUGCGAAGAUGACUCUUUUGAUGAUGAAAUAGCAAACACCACCUACCCACGACUAAUUGGAUCGGGAGAAUUAGGGAGUCUGGACCCCCUUGUAAUUGCUACCGAAGGGCAAAUUUUUUUAGAUCUGUCAAAAAAAAAUAUAGAAAUUUCAUUGUCUAUAGUACUACUUCUAGGUACAUUUUAUGUACUUAAUAUGGAGUAUACACCAAAGGCCUGUAACAUUUAUGCCCUUUUGGAAGUAGUUUUGAUGGGUAAGCCCGCAAAUGCAAAGAAAAGGGUUUCAGUUCAAAAGUUUGUGAAAAGUUUGGGGCUUGAGAGAUUAUAAUAUAGUAGUAUUUCUAAGAUGUUUUAUAUAUUUAGUUAUAUAUAUAUACAUUUAACUUUACUUGUUUCAUAUAUUGACUUGUUUAUAGUAUGUUUUAUGUUUUGUAUAUAUUUAUAUGUGUGAAUACAUGCAUAUAAAUCAUUU
This is a long non-coding RNA of Xenia sp. Carnegie-2017, 816 nucleotides long. RefSeq lists it as uncharacterized. The record is from RefSeq and is a predicted model, not a curated record. NCBI's taxonomy places the organism in Eukaryota, Metazoa, Cnidaria, Anthozoa, Malacalcyonacea, Xeniidae. The transcript has 4 exons.